This 662-nucleotide long non-coding RNA is filed under the name Capsicum annuum. RNAcentral describes it as "long non-coding RNA (CANN_LNC009179)". Lineage: Eukaryota; Viridiplantae; Streptophyta; Magnoliopsida; Solanales; Solanaceae. The record is from RNAcentral.
AAAUUUAUUUAAUGUUAAAAAUAUUUAUUUAUUUAUUUUGAAAGAAUAUUUAAUCUUAUCAAUAUACUUUUUAAAAAAAUUAAUUAAAAUAAUUAAUUAAUUUAACAAAUAAUGAUUAAAUCUUAUUAAUGAUAUAACGAAUAAGCAAAAUAAUAAAAAUAAUAAAUAAUACAAUAAAAUAGGAAAAAUAUACAAAAUUAUUAUAUCUAAACUGUUAAGACCAUUAUCCAAAACAUGAAAUUUAACAAAUUCAAUAUUUUAUAACAUUGUCAUAUCUUGAUCCAUACACCCAGCAACUGCUUGAUCUAUUUUCUAACAAACUUUUGCCAAAAUUGAGACUGAUAUCACCGGCACUACUCCAUUGAAUAUUUUCAACAGAUUUCGUAGACGCAAUGAAGUGUCGGCAAUAGUCAGCGACAGAAAAAGGGGAGGGGUUGACGGGAUCUAGGAGAGGGGCGGCGGCGUGUAGCGGCGCCGGCUGGUGGGGUUGUCACCGGAGUUGGUGGGAUUUUCGCCGGAUCUGUUUUUUUUUGCGGAAAAAAAAGGGGGGGGGGGAAGAUGACCGACCAUCAUUUUUUUUACUUGAUUUUUUAUUUCGCUCUGGAUUUACACUGAUUUUUUUUAUGAUAUAGCAUGGGAACAAUAAUAUAUACAGAUGUGGA